RNAcentral lists this transfer RNA (35 nucleotides) under Veronica bombycina subsp. bolkardaghensis. Its description in RNAcentral is "partial tRNA-Leu". Lineage: Eukaryota; Viridiplantae; Streptophyta; Magnoliopsida; Lamiales; Plantaginaceae. The record is from RNAcentral. RNAcentral also lists the same sequence under 2 other names.
AUUCUUUUAUAUUGGGACGUAAAUAACUUUCUUUU